RNAcentral lists this ribosomal RNA (535 nucleotides) under Colletotrichum gloeosporioides. RNAcentral's name for it is "eukaryotic LSU rRNA". The stretch from base 202 to 355 matches the Rfam family "5.8S ribosomal RNA". Lineage: Eukaryota; Fungi; Ascomycota; Sordariomycetes; Glomerellales; Glomerellaceae. The record is from RNAcentral.
CCGUAGGUGAACCUGCGGAGGGAUCAUUACUGAGUUUACGCUCUACAACCCUUUGUGAACAUACCUAUUACUGUUGCUUCGGCGGGUAGGGUCUCCGUGACCCUCCCGGCCUCCCGCCCCCGGGCGGGUCGGCGCCCGCCGGAGGAUAAACAAACUCUGAUUUAACGACGUUUCUUCUGAGUGGUACAAGCAAAUAAUCAAAACUUUUAACAACGGAUCUCUUGGUUCUGGCAUCGAUGAAGAACGCAGCGAAAUGCGAUAAGUAAUGUGAAUUGCAGAAUUCAGUGAAUCAUUGAAUCUUUGAACGCACAUUGCGCCCGCCAGCAUUCUGGCGGGCAUGCCUGUUCGAGCGUCAUUUCAACCCUCAAGCUCUGCUUGGUGUUGGGGCCCUACAGCUGAUGUAGGCCCUCAAAGGUAGUGGCGGACCCUCCCGGAGCCUCCUUUGCGUAGUAACUUUACGUCUCGCACUGGGAUCCGGAGGGACUCUUGCCGUAAAACCCCCAAUUUCCAAAGGUGACCUCAGAUCAGGUAGAUG